RNAcentral lists this ribosomal RNA (494 nucleotides) under uncultured bacterium. RNAcentral's name for it is "partial 16S ribosomal RNA". It matches the Rfam family "Bacterial small subunit ribosomal RNA", at positions 28 to 507 of the family's 1533-position model. The record is from RNAcentral.
GACGAACGCUGGCGGCGCGCUUAACACAUGCAAGUCGAACGGAAAGGCCUGCUUUCCCUUGUGGAUUGCGGGUACUCGAGUGGCGAACGGGUGAGUAACACGUGAGUGAUCUGCCCCCAACUUGGGUAUAAGCCUGGGAAACUGGGUCUAAUUCCCGAUAGGACUGCAGGGUGGUGCCUGUGGUGGAAAACGAUUUUCUAGUGGUUGGGGAUGAGCUCGCGGCCUAUCAGCUUGUUGGUGGGGUAAUGGCCUACCAAGGCGGCGACGGGUAGCCGGCCUGGGGGGGUGGACGGGCACAUUGGGACUGAGAUACGGCCCAGACGCCUACGGGAGGCAGCAGUGGGGAAUAUUGCACAAUGGGCGGAAGCCUGAUGCAGCGACGCCGCGUGGGGGAUGACGGCCUUCGGGUUGUAAACUCCUUUCGACCGCGAGGAAGCCACCUGGUUGGAAGGGUGGUGACGGUAGUGGUAGAAGAAGCACCGGCUAACUACGUG